This 322-nucleotide unclassified non-coding RNA is filed under the name Burkholderia mallei ATCC 23344. Its description in RNAcentral is "sRNA". RNAcentral also lists the same sequence under 2 other names. Lineage: Bacteria; Pseudomonadati; Pseudomonadota; Betaproteobacteria; Burkholderiales; Burkholderiaceae. The record is from RNAcentral.
CGAGCGGCUGCGCGCCGAGCAGCGCGUGCUGCGCGCCGAGCGCGACGCCGCGGCGGCCGAGCUCGCGCAGGGCGAAGCGCACGCGCACGCGAAGCGCGACGCGGCGAACCGGUACGCCGAGCGGGUCGACGCGAUGGCGGCCGGCCGCGCGCCGUUCACGAUCGGCGAUUACGCGGCGUGCCGCCGCUAUCGCGACGCGCUGCUCGACGAGCACGCGCUCGCGAGCGCGCAAUGCGCGCGGCUGCGCGCGGCGCUGCAGGCGAAAGUCGACCGGCUUGCCGCGACCGCGCGCCGGAUCGCGCGCAACGACGCGCAGAUCGAC